UACGUAGGGUGCAAGCGUUGUCCGGAAUUAUUGGGCGUAAAGAGCGUGUAGGCGGCCCGAUUAGUCCGCUGUGAAAGUCCAGGGCUCAACCCUGGAAUGCCGGUGGAUACUGUCGGGCUAGAGUCCGGAAGGGGCGAGUGGAAUUCCUGGUGUAGCGGUGAAAUGCGCAGAUAUCAGGAGGAACACCGGUGGCGAAGGCGGGUCUCUGGGCCGAAAUUGACGCUGAGGAGCGAAAGCGUGGGGAGCAAACAGG
Molecule: ribosomal RNA, 253 nt
Filed under: uncultured bacterium
Lineage: Bacteria
Description: partial 16S ribosomal RNA
Rfam family: Bacterial small subunit ribosomal RNA
Source: RNAcentral